Molecule: ribosomal RNA, 340 nt
Filed under: uncultured eukaryote
Lineage: Eukaryota
Description: SSU rRNA
Rfam family: Eukaryotic small subunit ribosomal RNA
Source: RNAcentral
AUAGCGUAUAUUAAAGUUGUUGCAGUUAAAAAGCUCGUAGUUGAAGUUUGGUCUCGGACGCUGGGUCUGCUUAAUUGCAUGUACUUGACGGUCCGAGACUUCCUUCUUGGUGAACGGCCGCCUUCGGGUGGUCCGGAACCAGGACUAUUACUUUGAAAAAAUUAGAGUGUUCAAAGCAGGCCAUAGGCCCGAAUAUAUUAGCAUGGAAUAACAGAAUAGGACGUGCGGUUCUAUUUUGUUGGUUUCUAGAACUGCCGUAAUGAUUAAAAGGGACAGCCGGGGGCAUUAGUAUUUGCACGCUAGAGGUGAAAUUCUUGGAUUGUGCAAAGACUUCCUACUG